Molecule: small nucleolar RNA, 227 nt
Organism: Mauremys mutica (yellowpond turtle)
Lineage: Eukaryota; Metazoa; Chordata; Testudines; Geoemydidae
Product: small nucleolar RNA U3
Exons: 1
Source: RefSeq, a predicted model, not a curated record
GGGCCCCCAAAAUUGCUUUGCCCCAGGCCCCCUGAAUCCUCUGGGUGGCCCUGAAAUGUAGUAGUUGAAACUGUCUGAUCUAGCUAACCAGCAGGGAAGUUAUACUGUCUCUUUUAAGUGUGAAGCAAGCACCCAGUGUUGUUUUAAUGGAGCUAUUCUUUGCUAUUGAUGACUUUUCCUGUUUUCUUUUGGGGGAGCCAGCAGAGGGAGAACACGGACUGAGUGGU